AUUGAACGCUGGCGGCAGGCCUAACACAUGCAAGUCGAACGGUAACAGGAAGCAGCUUGCUGCUUCGCUGACGAGUGGCGGACGGGUGAGUAAUGUCUGGGAAGCUGCCUGAUGGAGGGGGAUAACUACUGGAAACGGUAGCUAAUACCGCAUAAUGUCGCAAGACCAAAGAGGGGGACCUUCGGGCCUCUUGCCUUCGGAUGUGCCCAGAUGGGAUUAGCUUGUUGGUGGGGUAACGGCUCACCAAGGCGACGAUCCCUAGCUGGUCUGAGAGGAUGACCAGCCACACUGGAACUGAGACACGGUCCAGACUCCUACGGGAGGCAGCAGUGGGGAAUAUUGCACAAUGGGCGCAAGCCUGAUGCAGCCAUGCCGCGUGUAUGAAGAAGGCCUUCGGGUUGUAAAGUACUGUCAGCGGGGAGGAAGGGAGUAAAGUUAAUACCUUUGCUCAUUGACGUUACCCGCAGAAGAAGCACCGGCUAACUCCGUG
RNAcentral lists this ribosomal RNA (490 nucleotides) under uncultured bacterium. RNAcentral's name for it is "partial 16S ribosomal RNA". It matches the Rfam family "Bacterial small subunit ribosomal RNA", at positions 30 to 507 of the family's 1533-position model. The record is from RNAcentral.